Molecule: ribosomal RNA, 508 nt
Filed under: uncultured bacterium
Lineage: Bacteria
Description: partial 16S ribosomal RNA
Rfam family: Bacterial small subunit ribosomal RNA
Source: RNAcentral
AUUGAACGCUGGCGGCAUGCCUUACACAUGCAAGUCGAACGGCAGCGGGGGAGAAGCUUGCUUUUCCUGCCGGCGAGUGGCGAACGGGUGAGUAAUAUAUCGGAACGUGCCCAGUCGUGGGGGAUAACGUAGCGAAAGCUACGCUAAUACCGCAUACGAUCUACGGAUGAAAGCGGGGGAUCGCAAGACCGCGCGCGAGUGGAGCGGCCGAUAUCAGAUUAGGUUGUUGGUGAGGUAAAAGCUUACCAAGCCUGCGAUCUGUCGCUGGUCUGAGAGGACGACCAGCCACAAUGGAACUGAGACACGGUCCAGACUCAUACGGGAGGCAGCAGUGGGGAAUUUUGGACAAUGGGCGAAAGCCUGAUCCAGCCAUUCCGCGUGCAGGAUGAAGGCCCUCGGGUUGUAAACUGCUUUUGUACAGAACGAAAAGGUUUCUACUAAUACUAGGAGCUCAUGACGGUACUGUAAGAAUAAGCACCGGCUAACUACGUGCCAGCCGCCGCGGUAA